UGGAUAAGGCAUGCAAGUCGAGCGAUCCCCGCAAGGGGAUAGCCGCAAACGGGUGAGUAACGCGUAGGUAACCUACCCCAAAGAGCGGGAUAACUUGGAGAAAUCCAGGCUAAUACCGCAUAUACCUGCAGGCGCGCAUGCGCCAACAGGGAAAGAUGGCCUCGACCGCAAGGUUGCUAUCGCUUCGGGAGGGACCUGCGUCCCAUCAGCUAGUUGGUAGGGUCACGGCCUACCAAGGCGUAUGACGGGUAGCUAGCCUUAGAGGGCGGUUAGCCACACAGGAACUGAGACCCUGUCCAGACUCCUACGGGAGGCUGCAGUCGAGAAUCUUUGGCAAUGGACGAAAGUCUGACCAUGCGACCCCCCCUGCGGGAUGACGGCCUUCGGGUUGUAAANNG
RNAcentral lists this ribosomal RNA (398 nucleotides) under uncultured organism. Its description in RNAcentral is "bacterial SSU rRNA". It matches the Rfam family "Bacterial small subunit ribosomal RNA", at positions 45 to 432 of the family's 1533-position model. The record is from RNAcentral.